AAUUUUGGACAAUGGGCGAAAGCCUGAUCCAGCCAUGCCGCGUGUGUGAAGAAGGUCUUCGGAUUGUAAAGCACUUUAAGUGGGGAGGAAGGGGUUGAAGCUAAUACCUUCAAUCUUUGACGUUACCAACAGAACAAGCACCGGCUAACUCUGUGCCAGCAGCCGCGGUAAUACAGAGGGUGCAAGCGUUAAUCGGAAUUACUGGGCGUAAAGCGCAAGUAGGUGGUUCAGUAAGAUGGAAGUGAAAUCCCCGGGCUUAACCUGGGAACUGGUUUCAUAACUGCUGAGGUAGAGUACGGUAGAGGGUAGUGGAAUUUGCUGUGUAGAGGUGAAAUGCGUAGAUAUAGGAAGGAGCACCAGUGGCGGAGGCGACUACCUGGACUGAUGCUGACACUGAGGUGCGAAAGCGUAGGGAGCAAACAGG
This 424-nucleotide ribosomal RNA is filed under the name uncultured bacterium. RNAcentral describes it as "partial 16S ribosomal RNA". It matches the Rfam family "Bacterial small subunit ribosomal RNA", at positions 360 to 776 of the family's 1533-position model. The record is from RNAcentral.